GGCAUGGAUCGGUCAGAGCGCACAGAACAUAAAAAACAUUGAAACUCGUACAAGAAGAAUUCCUUAGCAGAGAUAAGAAAAUCAGCUCAUGUUCAUAUAAGAACUAAACCCAUGUACAUCAACAUGAUUUGCUAAUGUGCAGAACACAUUUUCAACACCCAUACACUUGGUAAUCUCCUGCUCACAUAAGCACAACACAUACAUGGGUUAGAGAUGAACACAGACUACCUACAUCAGAAGAAUAUUGCUUAGUGAUCAUGUUAUUGCCAGUAAUUCUUCUUGCCAGUAAGGCACUAAAUAUAUUAAGCAUGCACAAAACUUUUCACUUUGAGAUUGCAAUACUGCUUGGUAUCUGGAAACUUCCACAAAUCGUAUUUUUGGACUCUUAAGUAAAUAUUCCAGCAUAGCGGUUCAAAGAUAUCCACACAUGUGCAUCCCCUCUAAGAUGUCAAGUGUGCUACAUUGAGGAUUUUCUGGUGCAUACACCCCAAAUAUUAUUAACAUGUAUCAUUUGUUUCCUGGUAUUUUACAUGAACAUCCAAACAAUGAAGAUUCUUCUCUUUUGGAUUUAACCAUAAGAUACGUUCAAGUUUGAAACCCCUUUCCAAUCAUGUGCCCAACUAUAGAUGAGAACUUCCACAUGUAGGAUUUCAUUAAAAGAACCAACAUGCAAGCACUUAGCAGUACUGUUUGGACAAAAAAACUAUUUUUUUACUAAGGUGCAAUCGCAAGUAGCAACGACUUACCAAGGACAAUUUGUCAGGCAUAUGUUCAAUGCAUCAUGUCUACAAUGCAUGAUAGGAAUAGUGAUCCAGUCGCUCCAAUUUUCACUUGCCAUCCUCGCUAAUAGAAUAUGUUGAAAGAGCAACUGCCCAAUCAUUGCUUAGAGUGCUUGGAACCAAGAGAACACCCGUCACUCCUUCCAAAUCCUCCUGCAUUAUCAACGGAGAAUACAAUCAAACCACUCUAUCAGCGCAUCAAGAGCAUAGCAGAGCAACACGAUUUGAAUAGGCACACAACACUUGUAAAAUUAAUCAGAAACAAUAAUAAUCAAGCAAUUGUGCAUACAUGUUCCUAAAUCUGGAAGAUGCAUGUGACACCAGAUCAUCCCAUCACCAAUAAGGAGCACGGGGGUGACAGAAAACAGAGAGAUGCAGCGUAUUCAAGUGUUCAUUAUAGAACCAAGCUUGAACUGGGCUUGUAGUCAGUCGGUGGCGCACCAGCACGUAGAAGAUGCUAUGGGUAGGCGGGCCAGAGUUGUGGAUGUGGAAAUAAUUGUCUCCAUGGAGUGGCGCAAGUGGUCAAAGAGCCAUCACAACUAUACUGAAAUUUGCGACUACCUUUGACUAAACAUUUCAUAACUUAACGGGCAAAGUAAUUGAUGACCCUUCUGGGUAUGACAAAAACAGGAAAAUAGCUUCAUAUAUACACUACAGCCGUGUAUAGACACCCACAAGAUGUAAAGUUUCCAACUCCCCUUCAAACAAAUUACUAUCAUAAUCAUUCGUGAACCAAAAAGAACAUACAUAUCGAAUUAAUCUGCAAAGGGCCAUAUACAAUGCAGCCGUGGCCGGCAGGGACAUCCCCAUAGUUUGGCAUUAAUAAAGCUACGGCAUGAGCAGACUUUAGAACAUGGAAAUCUCCCGAUAAUCCAAGCGUCUGGUAUUAUACAAGCAAACAACCUGGUAACCUCUCGAGACCCGAAUCGCUCCCACGCAACGGCGGCAACGCCGAAGCACUACGUGAACAAGCGCAUUUGUAGUAGGAGGGGGUGGGAUGCUUACCGAGUCGCUCUCAUAGAGCCGAUGCUCUGCGGGCAGGCAGGCCACAUAGGUCUCCUGCGCCGUCGCCGCUGCAGCCACCAUCCGCCAUGGACAACGGGCCAGAUCAACCGCCUGGGCCACCCGAGGCGUCAACCUCUGCCCUUCUCGCUGGAGUUCUAAAUUCCCCGCCGGAAUAAAGAGGCUGGGAGGGGAGGAGCAGCGGCGCCAGAGUUGCUAGGGCGAAGGGGAGGGGGCGGCGCCGCCGCGGACAGAGAAGGGGAUCGAGAAAAAGGGAGGGCGAUUCGAUGUGGGAUCGGCUGCGGCAAACCUGGGCUAUACAGGCCAGGAACGCCCCGGCCCACCAAGGACGCGUGCCUUGCC
RNAcentral lists this long non-coding RNA (2144 nucleotides) under Hordeum vulgare. Its description in RNAcentral is "long non-coding RNA (HVUL_LNC007874)". Lineage: Eukaryota; Viridiplantae; Streptophyta; Magnoliopsida; Poales; Poaceae. The record is from RNAcentral.